This 345-nucleotide ribosomal RNA is filed under the name uncultured soil bacterium. RNAcentral describes it as "bacterial SSU rRNA". It matches the Rfam family "Bacterial small subunit ribosomal RNA", at positions 26 to 368 of the family's 1533-position model. The record is from RNAcentral.
AGGACGAACGCUGGCGGCGUGCUUAACACAUGCAAGUCGAGCGGUAAGGCCUUUCGGGGUACACGAGCGGCGAACGGGUGAGUAACACGUGGGUGAUCUGCCCUGCACUUCGGGAUAAGCCUGGGAAACUGGGUCUAAUACCGGAUAUGACCUCAGGUUGCAUGACGUUGGGGUGGAAAGUAUUUAUCGGUGCAGGAGUGGGCCCGCGGCCUAUCGAGCUUGGUUGGUGGGGUAAUGGCCUACCGAAGGCGACGACGGGUAGCCGACCUGAGGAGGGUGACCGGCCACACUGGGACUGAGACACGGCCAGACUCCGUACGGGAGCAGCGAGGUGGGAAUAUGACA